Long non-coding RNA from Centropristis striata (black sea bass), 370 nucleotides. RefSeq lists it as uncharacterized. The record is from RefSeq and is a predicted model, not a curated record. The transcript is spliced from 3 exons. Lineage: Eukaryota; Metazoa; Chordata; Actinopteri; Perciformes; Serranidae.
GAUGAUCCCUGUGGAAACCAUGUCCAUCUUCUGGCCAGUCAUUACUGUAAAAGUCUUCUCAGCCAACAGGGACGCAGGCCAUGAAGCUUCACGUUUCCCUUCGCCCUCACUUCCGUAGAGAUUACAACACCAAUUAGACUGCUGUUUCCUGACAUUCUCCCAUCAAAGCGGUUGGUUUUAUUUUUCACAUCAAAGAGUCAGAAUCUUCUCUGAACCCAGCCAUAAUGGAAAUGGCAACAAAGACCAAAGAAAACAAGGAGAGUGUUCCCAUUAACACUCUAGAGAUAUACAAUUGUUUAUUGUCUUUCUUUCAUCUCUUUUUUCCCUCUUUUGUGUAUCAUUGCUUAUUAUUCUGACACAACGUGAGAGA